RNAcentral lists this long non-coding RNA (1047 nucleotides) under Cicer arietinum (chickpea). Its description in RNAcentral is "long non-coding RNA (CARI_LNC001248)". The record is from RNAcentral. Lineage: Eukaryota; Viridiplantae; Streptophyta; Magnoliopsida; Fabales; Fabaceae.
CCAAAAGUGAAACGAGACAUACAUUUACAUCUUAUAGCAAAGAAACCGAAACAACAUAAAGCAGAGAGAGAGAGACCGUUAGCUUUGAAGAUACGGAAGAUUCAAGUGUGUUAUAAAAUCAUACAAAGUGUUAUAAAAUUCAUAAGAACAGAAACAACAAUGGUUCCAGUAAUUCCUACCCAAGUUCAAAAAUUCAAUUGUGGCAAGUGGUAUUGAAUGGACACACCUGCAAGGCAAAUUAUAAAAAAAGAACUUAGCACUCGAAGUGCACAUUAAGACUUUUUUUAUGAAAUUAUGUGAUGCUAUUAAACCAUUAUUAUUAUUGAUACCCCCAAAAUGCUAUAGCGGUGUAGCAGGUAGUGGUAUGACCGCUACGUCGAAGUUGAGGAAAACAAUUCAAAUGCUUUAUUCCAUACACAUAUAAUGGCUUAAAAUAGAAUAAUGCACAAAAUUAAACACAUAUUCAUAACUAAUCAUCAAAGUUCAUUGAUACAAAUAUUCAAACAUAAUAUUAAGCAAAAUAACAUGAAUUGUUGGUGCAGAAAUUGAAAAGCAGAAAGAAUGGUUGCAGAGAAGAGCAAAAUAACUUAGGAUUAGCAUAAGCACUAGCACACUCACAAAACUAAACUAAUUGAAAACAACCCAAGUUUUAAGAAACACCAAAAUUUAGUAUAACCUAUAUUCAAGCAUAAGCUAUGAACCUAAUAUACCAAAAACAACAGUGAUCUUCCCCCAAAUGUAUAUAACCCCCAGGAUGUAUUUCAUCAUCCCUUGAAAAGUUCAUUCAUAGCAUCUAAAUCACUAAUGAGCACACACAUGAUUAUUACAAUCCAAGCUAUUAUAACACAAAGAAUGAGUUAUUAGUUUUCGUCAAAGAUCGAAGUGAGAAGCGGUGUCAUCGGAGUUAUCAGGUUUCGUUUUUCACUUUUAGCAAUUUGAGAAAUUGAUAGAUUACCUUUGCAAGAGAUGAUUUUGUUUCCAAGAUGAUAAAUCACCUUCUUUGACAGAGGUGAUUUCGUUUUUCUUCAAAGUUGGAUUCAUUUUCUU